AGGCCUGUAGCUCAGUGGUAGAACACCUGCACUGCUUGCAGAAUGUCCCAGGUUCAAUCCCUGUGUGAUGGCCUG
Molecule: non-coding RNA, 75 nt
Organism: Podarcis lilfordi (Lilford's wall lizard)
Lineage: Eukaryota; Metazoa; Chordata; Lepidosauria; Squamata; Lacertidae
Source: the annotation of a GenBank genome assembly